UACGGAGGGGGCGAGCGUUGUUCGGAAUUAUUGGGCGUAAAGGGCGCGUAGGCGGCUUGAUAAGUCAAAGGUGAAAUCCCUCGGCUCAACUGAGGAAUUGCCUUUGAAACUGUCUGGCUCGAGGCCGGGAGGGGGUAGCGGAAUUCCCAGUGUAGCGGUGAAAUGCGUAGAUAUUGGGAGGAACACCGGUGGCGAAGGCGGCUACCUGGACCGGUUCUGACGCUGAUGCGCGAAAGCGUGGGGAGCAAACAGG
RNAcentral lists this ribosomal RNA (253 nucleotides) under uncultured bacterium. Its description in RNAcentral is "partial 16S ribosomal RNA". It matches the Rfam family "Bacterial small subunit ribosomal RNA", at positions 524 to 776 of the family's 1533-position model. The record is from RNAcentral.